ACCCCUGCUGUAACGUAAUGGAUAGCGCAUUGGACUUCUGAUCCAAAGAGUGUGGGUUGGAGUCCCACCUGGGAUG
Trichonephila clavipes is the source of this 76-nucleotide non-coding RNA. NCBI's taxonomy places the organism in Eukaryota, Metazoa, Arthropoda, Arachnida, Araneae, Nephilidae. The record is from the annotation of a GenBank genome assembly.